RNAcentral lists this ribosomal RNA (357 nucleotides) under uncultured bacterium. Its description in RNAcentral is "bacterial SSU rRNA". It matches the Rfam family "Bacterial small subunit ribosomal RNA", at positions 1 to 334 of the family's 1533-position model. The record is from RNAcentral.
GUACUACUCUCAGAGUUUGAUCCUGGCUCAGGAUGAACGCUGGCGGCGUGCUUAACACAUGCAAGUCGAACGAAGCACUUUUGAUUGAUUUCCUCGGAAUGAUUUCACUUGUGACUGAGUGGCGGACGGGUGAGUAACGCGUGGGUAACCUGCCUCAUACAGGGGGAUAACAGUUGGAAACGACUGCUAAUACCGCAUAAGCGCACGGUAUCGCAUGAUACAGUGUGAAAAACUCCGGUGGUAUGAGAUGGACCCGCGUCUGAUUAGCUAGUUGGUGAGGUAAUGGCCCACCAAGGCGACGAUCAGUAGCCGACCUGAGAGGGUGACCGGCCACAUUGGGACUGAGACACGGCCCAA